Anneissia japonica is the source of this 783-nucleotide long non-coding RNA. RefSeq lists it as uncharacterized. The transcript is spliced from 3 exons. The record is from RefSeq and is a predicted model, not a curated record. Lineage: Eukaryota; Metazoa; Echinodermata; Crinoidea; Comatulida; Comatulidae.
UGGAGUGAAUACCAUGUUUGCAAGUGUGUUCUGUUCUUUAGUAUUCAAGUUUUCACUCCUCGUACGCUGGUCACUUAAAUGCACGAUAGAACUACUUGCUCGGCCCCAGCCAACUGAACGGAGGGAGGAAGCAGUGCGACCCCUAAGCCAUGAUGAUGCACUGAACCUAGCAUACCAUCCCGAGUGCCUGUCAGUUGACUGAGACUCCCUGUACAUCUCCCCUGCAGUCUGUUAAUCGCCUAGUCCUGUCAAGUAUCACCGCCAAGCGAUCAUCAAUGAUGCCGCAAGGCUAAGUACUCAACCUCGCCAAGGCUCGGGCCUUCGCCAAGGCCCGGGCCCAGACUCAGCGUAGGGUUACCGGCGUAUAACCGACAAGAAGCCUCGUCGACCCCGGAACCCGUCAGGGAGAGAGUCAGUAUGUCGACACUCCAUUUCACGAAUUGUUGCAAAGUGACCAUGAAUACCAAGUUCACCAGGACGGAACCCAUCCUUGUUACAUGCUGGAGCUGUGGAGCUGACCCGAGUCUAUUGAACCAGUGUCUACGGUCAAAUCUACGGAUCCAUCAAUAAGUGCGAAGUCGAUGUACAAUUAUUGUCAUCGGAACACGAUGUGUAUUAAAUUGCCUGUACACAAGUAUGUGGUCUUAAUUCUACAAAUAAUCGCGCGCGGAUAUUAUUAGGAUUUAUAUCACUGGAUCGCCGGAAUUGAAUCAAAUUUGCCAAUUAUGUUUCUUAUACAACGAACAAGUAAUUCUCGAACAAUAUUACAUACUUAAAUAUAAU